Molecule: RNA transcript, 4233 nt
Organism: Lutra lutra (Eurasian river otter)
Lineage: Eukaryota; Metazoa; Chordata; Mammalia; Carnivora; Mustelidae
Gene: TLCD2
Gene name: TLC domain containing 2
Exons: 3
Source: RefSeq, a predicted model, not a curated record
CGGUGUGUGCUGGGCGCAGGGAAGACACAGCGCCGCGGGCCGUGGGGAACGGACGCACUGAUUUGCUCCCUUACCCUCAGCAACCCCCCCACCCAGCACCAGGUGGGUGUGAGCUGGGGUCCCGGCCGCACUGGAGGGAACCAUGCUAACGGGGUAAUAGGGGAAAGUAGGGUCCUGGUGGCCACACCCUGCCCUUCCGGGGGAGGGGUGAGGGGGCGGCGGGGGCAGGGAAGCUCUGGGGGUGAGGGGUCCUGGACUGGCUGGAGUGGUUUGGCAGGAGGCUUAAAGAAAGAGUCCGGGACGACAGUCGUGGCGGAGGGUUUUGCAGAGUGGCUAGAAAGAAGACGAGGGGCUAGGGGGCUGGGGGCAGCUAACCUCGGCGCCCCCUAGUCAGAGGAUAUGAGAACUGGCCUCCCAGCUUGGGGAGGGUUUGGACCUGGCGGGUAGCGGAGAGGUAGUUUUCCUCUGCAGGCAGUCAGUUGGUCAGGGCCAUUUGAGCGCCCUGGCAGGGAAGGGGUCUCUGGGCGGGCCGGCCCCUCCUCUCGUUCCUCCAGGGGAUGUUAUGUAAGGGGGGAGGGGAGAGGAGUAGGGGGCGGCGGUGCGGGGGCCUUAUGCAACCCAAAGGUUAGGGUUUCACCGCGGUUGGUGGGGAAAGCGGGCUGGAGGAGGACCUGGAAACUCUAACCACCCCCCGUCCCCAGCCUAACUGGCCGUCUUGGGCCCAGAGAAGGUCACCUCUGCACCUCCCCCCAGCAUGUCCGGUUGUGGGGCCCCUAGCCCAGGCCUGGCCCUGACCGCCUGGGAAGCCGGCUGGCUGGGUGGGGCGCCUGGGUUAGUCAUCACUGGGCUCCCUCUCUCCCCACCUCUCGGCCAACUCUUGGCCCCUCCCUAUGGCCUCUCGCUGGGCUAUCGCCCCCACCUCCCUCCGGCCCUAGUUCUCCAACUCCUUUGGCCUGUCAUCUUGGCUGUCAGACUGGGCUAGGGAUUGUCAGGGUGCCAAAGGGUUGAUGGAGCAGCUGGUCAGAGGGUCAGUGACCUGGGCCCACCCCACCCUGCAGCCAAGGGCACCUGCUUGGCACAGACUCUAAGCAGCCCUUGAGUCCUAUGGGCUGAACAGAGCUGGCUCAGACAGAGGAGAGUGGGAAGGAGUUGGACUGGUCACCUGGGGGAAGGAAGAUACCACAAAGUUCAUGCCUCCCCAAGAGGGUUUUUGUAAUUUGAAAACCUCCCACCCCCCCACUCUAAUCUUUCUUACCCUCUGAGUAUAGAAGUCUCAAGGCAAGACUGCCUUGGCUCCUGACACUGGCAUGGGCCAUGCCCUUGGACUGAGUGUCAGCACAGACACCGCCUCCCCAGCUCUAGGCCCUCAAGCCUGCCACGCCCCCAGCCCCCUCCCUGGGCCAUGCUGCAGGGCCCGGCUUUUCCUGCUGAUUCAUGCGUUGGAACUGUGGGGGCGGGGCUUGGAACUUGGAACAAAGUUCAGACAUGGAGGGGCCGGCAGACAGCCUGGAAUUCAUACCAGAUGUACCCGGAAUGCGCAAGCGGAAUGCCUGGCAUUUAAGAGUCUUGGGGAAGCUGCCCAUCCACCCUACCCAUACCUCCCUCCCCUCCAGCCUUUGGUCCCCUGUCCUCUCCUCGCAGUCCCUGGAGCCUCUGCUGACCUUCCAAACUCUGGACCUCCCUUCCUCACUCUUCCCCAGAUGUGGGCCCCCAGAACUCUUCCAGCUGAACUCCCUGGGAACAAGUCAGUUGGGCUGAUCACUGAACUGACAUUUCUGGACCUAAGGUCCAACUUCUCACCUAGUACCUGGGCAACUGGUGCAAUGUGUCCCGGGUUCUAAGUCCAGCCCUCUCUGAAUGCUGAAGAGGCUGGGCCCUCCAUGAAUAGAUGGGGCAAGGAGGGGUGAGAGCAGACCUGGGUCUCUACAGCCUUUGGUUCUGGAAAGAGGCACAAGGAAGUAUGUUUAGAACUGCCUCUUGCUUCUUACUGAAGUUAACUGCUCCUGCAGGCCCAGGUCAGAGCCAAGAACACUUUGUUACAAGGUUGAGCAUCUGUUGGAGCUGGACUUUUGUUGGACAGUGGGACAGUGUCCCUGUGACAUGGCCCUGUUCAGAUCCUUCCCAUUUUGUCUUCCUUUUCCUUUUAGGAGCCUGUCCCUCCCACAUCCUCACCUGGCUGAGCCGCAGUAGUUCUUCAGUGGCAAGCUUUAUGUCCUGACCCAGCUAAAGCUGCCAGUUGAAGAACUGUUGCCCUCUGCCACUGGCUUCAAGGAGGAGGAGGAAGAGGAGAAGGAGCUGCUUUCCCCUUCAUCUGGAAGGUUGUCGCUGUACCCUCAGAUGGCUGCUGACCCCAUUAACGGCCACCCAUCCUGGGCCCUGGUGCUGGUGGCUGUGUCCGUGGGUUGUGAGCUGCCUCAGCACUGCCAUUCUGUCCAACCAGUACAUGGGCCUCUGUGUGGUGUCUCUGCUCCUGGAGCUGAACUCUGUCUGCCUGCACCUACGGAAACUGCUGCUGCUUUCUCACCAGGCCCCAUCCCUGGCCUUCAGCAUGGCCAGCUGGGCCACCCUGGCCCUCUUCCGCCUAGUGCCUCUGGGCUGGAUGAGUCUGUGGCUAAUCCGGCAGCAACACCAGGUUCUUCCCCCUCUGGUCAUCCUUAGUGGAACUGGGCUGGUCACUGUGGGUGCCAUAAGCAUCACACUGGGCGUACGUAUUUUGGUCAAUGAUGUCCUGCAGGUUCGGCCCCGCCCACCCAUCCUGGGGCACAAGGAAACUAGGGGCACAAGGAGGUGUCGUGAUGGUGAGCUUGUCGCCAGGGACAAUGCCACUCUCCUCCUGAAAGACUAGAGAGAGGCCUCAGGCUCCUCUUCUGCCAGGCCUGGGGCAGGUAGGGCCAGGACGGGGAGAUUGUGGUCUACAGUGUCCAGUCCAUUGUGGGGUAAAGACUGGGCUGAAUUUUCAGUAUCUCAGUCCCUCUUCCAAGUAACUCACACCCCUCCCCCAUUCCUAGGAUCUGAGAAGAAAUGCUGAUGUUCUUGGAUGGGUGGGAAACUGGGCUAUUGUUCAGUAAAUUCCAUCAUCAGAUGACUGCUUCUUCCAGCAAACUUCUGGAGGUACAGCCAGUGCUGCCAAUAAGGGGAAGAAGGAGGCAUGAAGCUAGGUGAAACUGCCAAUGGCAUCCUCCACUUUUAGCACAGGAACAGGUGAAGGAAGGCGAGGUCUUUUUUUUUUUUUUUUUAAGAUUUGUAUUUAUUUACUUGGCACAGAGAGAGAGAGCACAAGCAAGGGGAGUGGUAGGCAGAGGGAGAGCAGCCCAACAGGGGGCCCAAUCCCGGGAUCACAACCCCAGCUGAAGGCAGAUGCUGAACCAACUGAGCCACCCAGGCACCCCCAAAGGUGAGGUCUUAUUAGGACCAGAGAGAUCUGAUGUGGAGGGGGUGGGUUCAGAGGGAAGAGAGACCUCACCUGUGACCAAAUUCCAGGCGGCGGAGGAGGCCACAACAGGUGCUAUCUGUAGCCAGUAGGGAUGGACAUACUAGUGGCCAAGAAACAGAAGAACUGGUCCACUACAGUCGCUGCUGAUACUUCUGGUUCUUGAAGCCACACUACCAUGUUUGUACUUAGCGCGAGUCCUACUGCCUUUUAAAUUUUUAAAAAGCCCAGCAUCUGCCUUUUAAAUUUUCUUACUAUCUUCUGACCUCUUCAAAGAAAAUGCAGCUUCUUAAAGGAAUGAGCAUGGGACUAGGUCUGUCUUCUUAGGAAACUACUGAAGUCCAGAGACAUUGCAGGGACUCAAACACCCAUUCUGGGUGCCAAGUGUAGCGUUUUCCAAGGCCCAGGUCUUCAUGGAAGAAUGAAGACAGGGAGAAGUGGACGAAGGGAGGCUUUCACUUGGCUGCAGAGGGAUUAAGAAAUAUCUAACUCUCUUCUAGGAUUCAUUUGCAAGCUCUCCCUCUCUUUUCUCCCCUGCCAUUUGUUUUUUUAUUUUUUUUUUUAAGAGGGGGAUGAGAGAAUCUUAAGCAGGCUCCAUUUCACAAACCUAUGAGUCGGCUUCUUAACUGACUGAGCCACCCUGAUGCCCCUAGGGUAAUUUAUUACCACCCAUUUCUCAUUCUCUUAUCUCACUUAAGAGACAGGGAAAAAAAUUUUUUUUAAUUAAAUUUAAUUUUUUUAAAGAUGUUAUUUUUAUUUAUUUGACAGAGACAUAGUGAGAGAGGGAGCACAAGCUGGGGGAG